This is a long non-coding RNA of Ictalurus punctatus (channel catfish), 601 nucleotides long. RefSeq lists it as uncharacterized. NCBI's taxonomy places the organism in Eukaryota, Metazoa, Chordata, Actinopteri, Siluriformes, Ictaluridae. The transcript has 3 exons. The record is from RefSeq and is a predicted model, not a curated record.
CUGAAAGCCGGAAAGUGAUGGUGGUGUACAAACCAGAAGACGUCACUUUGCAGCCCGGAAUCUCGGUUUCUGCGAGAUCAGAACUGUAAGAUGGUGUACUCACGGUUUCCUGAAGACAGCUUUUUAGCCUUUCUCAGACAUUCCUCUGCAACCCUCUGCAAUCUUUGGAAACAUGGAGGGGGGACGGACAUGUCAAAUAAGUAGAGAACUCUCUACUGUAUCCCAGGACUCCGUGGAAGCCAGAUUGAGGUACAGCUGCCUUCUUCUCCAUCUGCUAAAUAAGGAAACCAGGAAAAUUAGUCCAUCUGCAUCCAGUGGCGGCUCGUCCAUAGGGGCAAGUUUUGCAGUGCCCCACCAUCUACACCAGCCGUUCAACAUAUAUUAAUCUUCAUAAAGUCCUUAAUCAGUCUACUCUAGGUUUUAUAUUUCAUUGCAAAACUAAUGAUCUCUUCUGAUUGACCAGUGGUUGCUAUUGGAGAGAUACCAGCCAAAGUUCCAUUGAUUUGCUCCCCUUCUAGAUGUUACACAAUUGCAGGGCAGCAUGCUCACUGCCCCAUUUAGUGCCAUAGAAUUGUUUUUUUAUGCCAAAAUAAUCGUAUCA